AGAAUCAACGCUGGCGGCGUGCCUAACACAUGCAAGUCGCACGAGAAAGGGGAGCAAUCCCUGAGUAAAGUGGCGCACGGGUGAGUAACACGUGGGCAAUCUACCUUUCGGUGAGGAAUACCGGCGAGAAAUCGCCGACAAUACCGCAUACGCUUCGCAAGAAGCAAAGUCGCAAGACGCCGGAGGAGGAGCCUGCGCCCGAUUAGCUCGUUGGUGGAGUAAUGGUCUACCAAGGCGACGAUCGGUAGCUGGUCUGAGAGGAUGAUCAGCCACACUGGGAUUGAGAACGGCCCAGACUCCUACGGGGGGCAGCAGUGAGGAAUUUUCGUCAAUGGGGGAAACCCUGAACGAGCAACGCCGCGUGCAGGAAGACACUUUUCGGAGCGUAAACUGCUUUUCGUCGGGGACGAGUAAGGACGGUACCCGAGGAAUCGAGCCCCGGCUAACUACGUGCCAGCAGCCGC
RNAcentral lists this ribosomal RNA (464 nucleotides) under uncultured bacterium. RNAcentral describes it as "SSU rRNA". It matches the Rfam family "Bacterial small subunit ribosomal RNA", at positions 26 to 518 of the family's 1533-position model. The record is from RNAcentral.